CCCCUCCGCCCCUAGUUUCUCCGGGGAACGUCGUCUCCUGAGCGAGAUGGAUUGGACGGGCGGGGCUGAGGCUGGGAUGUGUCCGGCCGCUUUGCUGGGGCAUUUACUGCAGCUGAAAAGGCCGCUCCAGGCGCGGCCACCUCUGCCGGCCGGGGGAGCUCCUGGCAUCUGGGAGCCGACUUCGCGCGCCGCCGGCUGGGAAGCCCGACUCGCCUCCGCUGCGCUCAGUGCCUCCUGCCCUUGACGCGCAUCACAUUGAAUCUCCUCUGGUCUACUGAAGAACUCAACAGUGAUCCUCAUGGGUCCCCUACACCCCUGUGAGAGGACCCUCCCUGGUGUCACAACGGGUUAAAGCGCAGCACUACUAAGCCGGCUGCAGCCACAGCGGAGUUCCAUCCCCGCCCCGAGGUGACCACAUGGCACAGCAGACCUCUCCUCUCACCCACUGCGCCCCUCAGCAGUGGACUUUAUCUAUCUGCCUUCCCCAAAGCCAGGAAAGUAUUCUAUGUUUUCUCCUAUUGUUUUAAUAGUUACAUCUAAGUAUUAAAUACCUUCAAUAUGUACUUCUAAGUGUAAUUUAUUUUUGGUAUGGUGUGAAUUAGGGAUCAAGGUAC
Molecule: long non-coding RNA, 614 nt
Organism: Condylura cristata (star-nosed mole)
Lineage: Eukaryota; Metazoa; Chordata; Mammalia; Eulipotyphla; Talpidae
Exons: 3
Source: RefSeq, a predicted model, not a curated record